This 72-nucleotide non-coding RNA is filed under the name unclassified sequences. RNAcentral describes it as "L2-Alphaproteobacteria ribosomal protein leader". It matches the Rfam family "L2-Alphaproteobacteria ribosomal protein leader". The record is from RNAcentral.
GGGCACCUUCGGGGGCCUUCAUACCAUAGCGUCGGGAGGACCCGACGUGUUUAGCUAAACGGAAGACAGCAA